This is a long non-coding RNA of Ictalurus punctatus (channel catfish), 4983 nucleotides long. Lineage: Eukaryota; Metazoa; Chordata; Actinopteri; Siluriformes; Ictaluridae. The record is from Ensembl.
UGAUCAAACAGCACACAGGUUAUGUUGCAGGGUGUGACUUGGCAUGGAGUACGCUGUAGGUGAUUCCUGAAACUGUAAAGCCUGCAUGAGUUUGUAUGUGUGUCUGUGUGUACUGUUUCCUAAUAAAGUGUUCGGUGAGUGUAGUUGGUACGUAGUUGCAGUAGAUACUAUUUAUAGCAUUUAUACUGUAAUGUAUAUUCACAGUAAUGGCGAGACUUCAUAUUGCUUUAAAUAUCAAGUUUCAGUUACACUUUAAACUCUUUUAUUGCCAAAUCUACACCUAGAAUAACUUGAAAAAGUCCUAACAAAAGAAUCUAAUAAAAUGUGUUUAUUAAUCAUUUCAUUUUAGUAGCUGCUCUGAGUAGCCUACUAACAAACAUUGCUAGCUGAGUAUUAGAAAGUUCUUGUGUUGCAGGAGCUAGCUAUUAGCUAGCUACAGAAUGUAGUCCAGGAGCACAAUGUAAGGAUGAUCUCCCUUAGUAUCAGUCAAACAUUCCAGUGUUUGAUGGAAAGUUAGUUAUAAUUGGUAUUUACAGUUAGAACUUGUAUAUAAGUAGUUGCUGUAAACUGUAUGGAUUACCUGUUUUAACUUGAAAGCUUUUAGGUAGCUAGCUAGCAAUUAUUAGCAGAUCUCCUGCCAGCUCUCUUGUAUAGUUUAAGCCUUGUUUAAACUUGUUGCACUUACCCUGGUUUGCUGGUAAUACUGAAGCCAUGAUGCUUUAUCAAAAGUGAGGGGGAAAUGAAAGUUAACUUACAGUAAAGUUAUUGAUAAUAUACAUAGUUACAGCAGUAUUACGAUAGCGAUACAUUGAAAGGUACUGCUGGUACGGUAAAUAUGUUCCCACAAUACUUGCUGCAUUAAACUGAAAGCACAUUUUCAGUAUUGUACUGACUUGAAACACAGACACAUGGAGAAAUGAUAGAAUUUCUUUACAGAUUCUUUGCACAGAAGCACAGGUCACGCUGGUUGCUACAUUCUGGUUUUCAUGUGUAACUAAAGUUUAAUCCACCACAUUACUGAAUACUGAUAGAGUACACAUAGCACUGAGGGUGUUUUGUGAUGAAUUACAUUUAUGGCUGUCAGCAGUAUUGCCCCAACAAUAAAACACCAUUUAGAGUGUUUUGCUUUUUUUCACUCUUGAAAUACUUCCAGCACUCAGCAAAAAACAGAAGAUACAUUAUGUAAUGCUUUAUUACUUAUCUGUAGUAGAGUUUAUAUGCAAGUGCAAAUUUACUCAUGCGUAACCAAUUUGAGAUUUCCUUCUUAGUUUAAUAAAUGUUUUAUGCACAUAGAAAACAUACGUAUUGUGUUGCUGCACAUGAUAAAAUCUAUUUUAUAGUCUUCUGCACCUAGUUAAUACUAAUCACAAUCAUUUUGGCAGUAAACAAUAAUGUUGUUCUCAUGCCCACCAAUGAAAAUGCAUUUUUACUGGCAUGUUGUUGUACUUCAAUUAUCUUUUCUUGGGAGUUUUGUCCAGGAUUCAUGCUGAAAUGCUGAAAAAGUCUAAAGCAAGCAGAAGAUGUUUUUUUUCUUCAAAUGUUAAAAUGUCUACGUGAAUUCAGUUAAAAUAGAAGAAAAAUGAUCAAAUGAUCACUAACUCCAUAUCUCGUUUGUUAUUCUCUACAUGCCAUUGGAAGGUUUGCAAAAAAAAAAUUAACAGACACUCAGGAAAAAAUGUAUUAAGCUGCACUUUUCAGGGUAAAAACAGGAAUCACUAGGAUUGUCCCUCAAGAAGAUCUCAAGAAUGUGGUACCUUUCAAAUUCAUUCAGGUCCACUGUGAUACUAUUCCAUUGCUUGUACACUGAUGAACAUGUUAUUAUACCUGUUUGUUGUUUUUUUUUUGCUGGUUUUCAAACAUGAUUGCAAACCACCAAGAGGAUGAGUAGCUUCCUAAAGAACAACAGCUGCAAAGGCUGCUUAAUGGGGUAAUGCUGGUAUUUCUGUCAUGCCAGGAUUCUGUUUCUUGAAAGCACGGUAAGUAUAGAAACACCUGUUUGUCUAAAACAGACCUUCCCAUCAAACAGUAGUAUUUUCAGAAAUAUUUUCAGAGGCUGAUCUGGACAUCUUAAUGACACAAUGAUUGAGUAUCGAUGCCAGUAUACCCCUAUGGAGAUACUACGUUAACUACGUUUCCCUUGCUUGACGUGGGGAUUCAUAAUACUUAAUCAAAUGUGAAAAUGUUUUAAUCAACAUUAAAUAGAUAAUUACACAUAGGUAUUUAUUAAGCAGAAUAAGUUUGGCACUCAGAGUGCCAAAGUCAAAUUGUAUUCCCAAAUGUUUUUAAGAAACCUUUUCAUAGAAUUUACAAUGGGCAAAUUGGUGCAGCAAACUAACACAGUUAAAUUGAAUAAAUUUUCAACAUACAGUAAUAAAAAAGAGUAAACUGGUAUUCUCUUGAAUCUAUAUCUACCGUCUCACGUGGUAAUACACUUUCUCUAAAAAAGACAAGCCAUGAAAAGCGGAGGCUUUAUGAAUACUCUUCAUAGGUUUUACUUUUCCCGGUGUCUUGUCCAGGUUGGAGCCAUCUGAGCUCUCUGUGUUUUGCUUGGCGGCUUCUUGUUCCUGCUGACUUUGGACAACGUGAAAGCUCCCAGAAGAUUUCAUUCUCCAUGGAUAAAUUCUAACACUUGACUUUUCUCAGUUGCUUCUAUUUUCAUUCAUUAGCAAGUCCCUUCUGUCUCCAUAAAUUUUCAGUUUCUUGAAUUACAACCAUGUAUGCAUUAUUAAACAGCAAAGAUCAGCCUGAGAAGAGAUGAAUGCCUGCAGGUUUUUAAUGGCAUAGUGAAAUCCAAACGGGACCUUAAUGUUAAAGUCUCUUUGUUGGAAUCACUGAGAAAUAAAUAUUUGCACUCUUUCUCAGACAUGGAUGAACUUUUCAUAAAUGUGGAUUUUAUUUUAAGUCAAAGAUAAUUCCAUGGCCUAUGAUACCUUCACUCUUGAGGAGAGCAAUUUUACUUGCCUAUAAACUAUCCACAGUAAAACGGAAUAUCUUUGGUAUUGACGUCCAACUAACAAAAGAGUUUCAUUUUUAAGGAAGCUUCAUUAAUUUCCUAUAAAGUGGAUAAAGUCAUGCAUCAAUCCUUAUGCAUUACUGCUGGAGGGUAUUUUUUUUUGUUGUUGUUUUUGUUUUUUAAACUGUGUAUGUGUUUGUAUUACUUUAUAUUUUAUUUCUCCAAAAUAUGCAAUCAACUGUAUAUUUGGUAAACCAAGAGAAGGCUGGUGGAUUGUCUUGUUAAGCACCUAGGUACAAUCAGACAAGGUCAUUUUUCAUUAAAUCUUCUUGAAGGAUAUCUUCUUUGCAAUGCAAGCUUGAAUGGCCAUAUUUUACUGUAAACAUGUUGAUGCUUGUGUGUGAGAAUUUUCAACUGCAUGUACAUCUCUGCUGGGGAUAUAUAAGGUAUAGGUGUGUUUUGGGGUGUUCAUUUUUCACUUUCUCACCUUGUGUUUGUUUGUUUGUUGCGGCUCCUUGUGCUAACUUUAUCUAAUUUGUAGCUAUUCAAGAAGACAUUUUUGUGAAAUCCAAACAAAAUGUGUGUUUAGUUAAUGGAUCUCAGAAAACCUAUUCAUUCUCGACUACAGAUUCGAAAUAAGCAUAUUAACAAUGUUAGCUGCUAUCAACUUUCAUUCAUUUUCAUUCAUCUUCAGUAACCGCUUUUCUUGGUCAGGGUCAUAGUGGAUCUGAAGCCUAUCCUGGCAACAUCGGGCACGAGGUAGGAACACAGCCCAGAUGGGAUGCCAGUUCAUUGCAGGGCACCAUGCACACACAUUCAUACACUCAUUCACACUUAGGGGCAUAGCUAAUCCAAGUGAGCAUAGCUAAUCCACCUACUGGCAUAUUUUUUUCGAGGUUCAGUUCAGGAAACUGAAGAACCCUGAGGAAACCCAUGCAGACAUGGAGAAAACAUGCACAGACACCUGAGGACUGUGAGGCAGCAACGCUACCCAUUGUGCCACCAUGCUGCCACCAGAAAUGCUGUUAUAGAUUACAUAACAUGUUGCAGUAUUUAUUUUUAAAGGAUAUUAGAGUCUUGGUGAUUUCAAAAUGAUUUUUUUUGGCAAGUAACAGGUUAAAGAAAAUGGCAAAAAAGAAAAGAAAAAACAUGCAAGCACAUGUCCAGAACUUAAAAAAAUUGGUGUUACAGCUGUCCAUAAUAUGAGGAGAGCUGUUACAAAAGGUUCAUAUUGUCUUAUAAUCUAUGUAUAUACCUUUAGACAGAUCAAAUAAGUAUUACAUAAAAAGGUGUGAUUUCUAAGUCUGUUUUCCAUCUACAGGUUUUGUAUGGUAAUGCAAAGAGUUGUUACUUGAAUCCCCCUUAUAGCUACACUGGCAGCACUUCUUCAGCAGACACUGUUUUAAAAUCUUUUUCCCUCUGAGACUAAACCUAAUGGCACCUGAAGGCGAUGAGGUGGCGUUUUCUCUCACGAGCGCUCACGCUGCUUUCACCUCCCAGUGUUUGAAAGGAAAAAAGGAAAGCAGAGUCAGUUCUCGGAUGGCGGAAAAUACACGAAGUUAUAAAAAAAAGGGGGGGGGGGGGGGGCUGUGAUUGGAUCCUCACAUAGAUGCGACGUCUGCGGAAGAGAGAUGAAAUCCUCAAGUCGAAUUGCUGUUGUUAUUUUUUUUUUGUAAUAGCGUCAGUGCGCAUGUGCGCAAAGAGGCUCGUGCGUGGCGCGUGUAGGAGCGCACACACUGCUGUGUGUCUGUGAAGUUCAGCAUCUUUCUCUCGCUCAAACGUGCCAGGUGUUUUCUUUAAUAAAUCUUCUUACUGAAUGCAAUGAAUUGCAUUGCGGUGCGUUUUCAAAAUUAUUCGGAACUAACAAUGUCCUAAACAUAGUAUUUAUUAACUACGCACCGUGGUAUAACUCCCAGAUAAAUUCACGUGCCUAGAUAAUAUGAGACAGUCAUAUGUUCUGACUUUAAUUUUUAUUGAAGAGGGGGGGGGGGACCUUUGAAACGUACCCAUGCACUGUAAACAGUUUGCCA